Schistocerca gregaria is the source of this 1210-nucleotide long non-coding RNA. RefSeq lists it as uncharacterized. The transcript has 3 exons. The record is from RefSeq and is a predicted model, not a curated record. NCBI's taxonomy places the organism in Eukaryota, Metazoa, Arthropoda, Insecta, Orthoptera, Acrididae.
UAUUACAAUAUUUAUCUAGUUCAUAGUAAAAUUCGCUUUUGAAAUGAACAGGAUUUCCGAAACGCAGCCCUCGAAUUCCGGCACAUCACAGAAUAGAGCCUGCAUCGCCGGUUAUUCCGAUUUAAUAAAGGCUGCCUCGAAACAGGAAUUGUUUAGAAAAUAUUUUUGCGCAUUAUUCGUCCAGUCAAUUAACUUCGAUCUAUACUCCUAGUCUAGUAUUGGAGAUGACAAUCUAUGGGAUGACACAGCACUUAUCGAUGCAUAUAACCAUGCCAUAAAAGAGUACAAUACAGCUCAUACUAAGCAUUCUACUGCUGAAAGCCCUGUAGAAGAAGAUGACAUUAGCAAAUGCAGCUCUUCAGUAAAAAAAAAGGAAGUUGCGGAAGAAUCUGUUCAGAGAACACCUGCCAAAAUAAAGAAAAGCCGAAUGAAAAGACCGAGCCAAUUGGAGCAGGAGCAAAAUAUUCAAGAUUGUGAAGCAGACGCUCAAUCUGAUAAAGGGUUUUGCCCACAGUACGCGGAUUGUCGCCCUAGUUCAAAAAAACAAAAAAAAGGUAAACAACACUUUCAUAAAGCUGAAAAAAUACGCCCAUCGCUAAACGGCUUUUCUACAUAUGGUCCUGAAUCUACAUACCAGGAAAAAUGCUCGGAUUCUUCUGAGGAUGAAGAAGACACUGCAGAUGAUGACGAACAUUCGAGAGCAGCUGAUACAAGCACGAAUACUAAAAACUUGAAAAAAAGAAAACGCCAUAACUACCAAGAUGUGAACUAUUACGGGCAAAAUCAAUACUUACCGAACUUUAGUGAUCAGAUGCCGCCUCCUUAUGCACCCUCUUACUUUGACAGCUCCGCCAGUUUUCCUCCGCCAGCUUUCAAUUUUUGUUCAUUUCCCUCUUUCAAUCCUUGGAAUAUGAACAGAUAUAACAUGCCUAACACCCAAGACAACACGUCCAUGCUGUGGGCAUAUUACUAUUACGGAUUUGCAAUGGGAAUGUACGAGGCCUUAAAAACUUUAAAGCAAGGCGAAUAAGUUAAAAAUGACCAGUUGUAAAGCUUUUGACAAAUUCCAACAAUUUUAUGAGAUACAAUAAUGUAUUCAUAAUGGCUCUAUUGUUCUAUGAUUCUUCCUUAUUUCAUGUUUUGAUCUUCGUGGAUUCCUGUAUAUACAACGCUAAUCUAAACCUAGCGCUGUCUAAUAAAAAAUGUAGCU